This 482-nucleotide ribosomal RNA is filed under the name uncultured bacterium. RNAcentral describes it as "partial 16S ribosomal RNA". It matches the Rfam family "Bacterial small subunit ribosomal RNA", at positions 28 to 507 of the family's 1533-position model. The record is from RNAcentral.
GACGAACGCUGGCGGCGUGCUUAACACAUGCAAGUCGAACGCUGAAGCUCAGCUUGCUGGGUGGAUGAGUGGCGAACGGGUGAGUAACACGUGAGUAACCUGCCCUCUUCUUUGGGAUAACGCCCGGAAACGGGUGCUAAUACUGGAUAUUCACUGAUUCUCGCAUGGGGGUUGGUGGAAAGGUUUUUUCUGGUGGGUGAUGGGCUCGCGGCCUAUCAGCUUGUUGUUGGGGUGAUGGCCUACCAAGGCUUUGACGGGUAGCCGGCCUGAGAGGGUGACCGGUGAAAUUGGGAAGGAGAAACGGGACAGAGUAAUACGGGAGGCAGCAGUGGGGAAUAUUGGACAAUGGGCGAAAGCAUGAUGCAGAGACGACGCGUGAGGGAUGGAGGACUUCGGGUUGGAAACCUCUUUCGAUAAUGGUAAAGCAGCAGAUUUGGGUUGUGGUGAGGGUAGUGGGUAAAGAAGCGCCGGCUAACUACGUG